Gracilinanus agilis (Agile Gracile Mouse Opossum) is the source of this 2161-nucleotide long non-coding RNA. RefSeq lists it as uncharacterized. The record is from RefSeq and is a predicted model, not a curated record. Lineage: Eukaryota; Metazoa; Chordata; Mammalia; Didelphimorphia; Didelphidae. The transcript has 2 exons.
CCAGGCUCCCCUAAGUCUGGAAAGAGGCAGAAGAUGCAGGUGGCGAUGUCCCCCCAACAGCCGGGUCUUCGGUACCACAGGGCCCAGAAAACACCAGGGUUCACGAAGAACUCGGGCUGGCCCUGGGAAUGCCCCUUGUCCACGACCGAGGCCUUGAGUCCUAACCAGGUGGUCCGGACUAGAUUCUGAUGAUGCCCCCAAGCUUGCCGCCGUGCUCCCUCCCCCAUUCCUGGAUCUCUUCACACGGGCAUACCUUCUUACUCUAGGAAUCCCUGCUGCCUCGCUUCUUCCUUCGGAAGAAAGUGUACCUUUCCACUGUCCUACUCUAGGCCCGGGCUCACCCAGCCAAGCCCCAGAGUCAGCCAGCCAUGAAGUCAAACUUGCCUCCUUGAGUUAGGAGGUCCAGAUCGCCUCGCUUGUCGCCCAUGUCUUCGGCAUUUGGGUCUGAGGUCGUGAGUCCUUUCCUAGCUCUUUGCUUGGACUCAGUGUGCUGGGAAUGGCCAGGGGCCCCGUCGCUACUCUUUCCCCACCAUUAUAGCUACCGUCUGGUUUCCAGCUUGGGAGACGUGCAGAGGCGGUCGUCGCCCUCCCCUCCCCUCUUCAUUUUAAAGUCCUGCCGAUUAGAUUUGCUUAGGAAAAUCUAUUCUUACCAGCCCCUUUUAUGGGCACUCCACCCCUGGCCAAGAGCCUGGCAUCUUAAGGCGCAGGGCAGAGAUUCCAAUCACUUUUUCCAGAGCCGUAUUCUGGACCGGCUAUUUUCAAUCCCCAGAGCGGUCGUUCUCUUUGGAAGCCGCUGCCUUCAAUUGGCUCCACUGAUGAAAAUACCACCUGGGCAUCGGGAGGCUAAGGUUUCUUGCCAAAAGCUCUGCAGUCUUUAGCGACGCUUUCUAGAUUCCUUCUGGUAGUAUCAUUUGGGCCUGCUCCAGUGAGCAGUCAUCUGCUCUGACAGUUCUUGGAAGGUUCUCUCCGUCACGUCCCUGAUCCACCCUAGGAAGACAAACUUCUCUCCCGUUGCUCCCAAGUCAACAAAAAGCUGCCUCGGAACUCCCCGGCAUGCAAUCGCUAACCGCCCCUACUCGCUCGUCUCUUUUAGCUCUGGCCACGUCCCGAAGUCCACCUGUGCAAGUCAUUUCCCUGCUCGGCCAGUGCCCAAGGUUUUCUUAAAGGCUCACUAAGUGCCAAAUCCUGGGACGGGGCUGAAGGUGCAAAGACAGAAACCAAAAUAAAAGCCCACAGCAGUCCCUGCUUUCAAGGAGUUCCCAUUCUACGUGGGGGAGACAGCAGACGGGUAACGAGGUAAAGCCAAGAGAGAUCCAGAGUCACUGAAGGGAAUCUGAGAAGGGAAGGCCCUAGCAGUGGGGAGUCAGGGGGACUAGGAAAGGCUGCUAGUGGAAAGUGAGACUUGAGUCCAGGCUCAAAACAGAGGGGCAGAUGGGAAGAAAGAGAACACUGCAGGCACGGCACGCAGGCGGUCCAAAAGGAAAGAGGCAGGAGAUGCAGGCUUGUGUGCUGGGCCCAGCCAGGAGACUAUGGUCACUGAACCGUGUAAAAAGAAUGAAAAGGUAGGAAGGGGUGAGGUUGUCAAACAGGACUUUGGAGUUGCUCCUGGAGGCAAUAGGGAGCCAUUGCAGUUUACCUAGUAUAGGUGACAGAGCCAGAGCUGACCUUUCGGAAGAUGGACCGGAGCCAGCAGAGCCUGGAGGCAGGCAGCCCACUUACAGUAGGCUCUUCUAAGUAGUGUGGGUGUGAGGGGACGAGGGCCUGCACCAGUGAGAUGGCAUUGGCAGAGGAGAGGAAGGGGGAUACUCCAGAGAUUUGACAAUGGACUGAAUACGCGAAGUGAGUGAGAGAGAGAAAUCGAGGAUGAUACCCAGGAUGUAAACCUGGGCAACUGAGGAAUGUCAGGGGGAAAAAGGAAACCCUCCCUUGAAGAAGUGGCCCUUCUCUUUGCCAAGGCUAGCCCUCCUCAUGCCUGAAUGAUCCCAUUCCGGUCUACCUUCUCUAGCACAUUGCCUCUCUUCUCGCCUUUCCUACUAUUUCACUUGGCAAUUUCAUCAUUAAAUUGGAAGCGUCGAUUUGAUAAACAUUACUAAACAAUUCCCCCAAAACGUGCACAAACUUCAGGAUAAAUGGCGAGAAAUACAGAUGAACAUUAAAUAGG